RNAcentral lists this ribosomal RNA (498 nucleotides) under uncultured bacterium. Its description in RNAcentral is "partial 16S ribosomal RNA". It matches the Rfam family "Bacterial small subunit ribosomal RNA", at positions 899 to 1397 of the family's 1533-position model. The record is from RNAcentral.
ACUCAAAUGAAUUGACGGGGGCCCGCACAAGCGGCGGAGCAUGCUGAUUAAUUCGAUGCAACGCGAAGAACCUUACCUGGGUUUGACAUAUACCGGAAAGCCAUAGAGAUAUGGCCCCCCUUGUGGUCGGUAAACAGGUGGUGCAUGGCUGUCGUCAGCUCGUGUCGUGAGAUGUUGGGUUAAGUCCCGCAACGAGCGCAACCCUCGUUCUAUGUUGCCAGCACGUAAUGGUGGGGACUCAUAGGAGACUGCCGGGGUCAACUCGGAGGAAGGUGGGGAUGACGUCAAGUCUUCAUGCCCCUUAUAUCCAGGGCUUCAAGCAUGCUACAAUGGCCGGUACAAAGGGCUGCGAUAUCGCAAGAUGGAGCGAAUCCCAAAAAGCCGGUCUCAGUUCGGAUUGGGGUCUGCAACUCGACCCCAUGAAGUCGGAGUCGCUAGUAAUCGCAGAUCAGCAACGCUGCGGUGAAUACGUUCCCGGGCCUUGUACACACCGCCCGU